This is a long non-coding RNA of Symphalangus syndactylus (siamang), 723 nucleotides long. RefSeq lists it as uncharacterized. Lineage: Eukaryota; Metazoa; Chordata; Mammalia; Primates; Hylobatidae. The record is from RefSeq and is a predicted model, not a curated record.
CAGAGGUGACUAAGGUUUACACAGCAGAAAGCUGCAGCGCCUAGAGUCAACGCAGGUCGUUGUUAGCCCUGGACUAUUUCUGCCACUACCAAGGUUUUCAACAAAGAACAGAAGAAGACGUAUAAGACUUAAAGCUUAGUAAACCUUUGGGUUCCGUGCAUUUGGCCAUCAUUCCAGUCGUCAGCAUUGUGCAGGACAGGUACUCGAGGUCUGUUUUUGUAAACCAGGAACCCGAGGCACAGAGCAAAGUCUUGCUGUGUCGCACAGGCUGGAGUGCAGCGAUGUGAUCUGGGCCCACUGCAACCUCCAUCUGCCGGGUUCAAGCAACUCUACUGUCUCAGCCUCCUGAGUAGCUGGGACUACAGGCACGUGCCACCAUGCCUGGCUAAUUUUUGUAUUUUGAGUAGAGAUGGGGUUCCACCAUGUAGGCCAGGCUGGUCUUGAACUCGUGACCUCGUGAUCCACCCGCCUCGGCCUCCCAAAGUGCUGGGAUUACAGGUGUCAGCCACUGCACCCAGCCAGAAGAAAACAACUUUUAACCACACGACUUUGCCUAUCAGGGUCUACCAGACAAACCUUUUUGAAGAUACAUUUCCACAAUCUACAUAUUUCCAAAGGUAUCUGUUUUUGUUAGUUGAUUUUUAAAUUUUGAUUGCAGAUAUAUUUCUUGCAUGACAUGUCUAUGUGAAAAUCUAAUUUAUUAAAAAUGUGUAUCAUGCUGCC